Molecule: non-coding RNA, 446 nt
Organism: Chiloscyllium plagiosum (whitespotted bambooshark)
Lineage: Eukaryota; Metazoa; Chordata; Chondrichthyes; Orectolobiformes; Hemiscylliidae
Source: RefSeq, a predicted model, not a curated record
UGGACUUUAAACAUUGCACUGGCAGUGUGAAACUCUGAAGGUCCUGGCAGCGGUGAGUAGUACUGUUGCUGAUACAAGACAUUGCUAAUGAGCAGAAAACCAAAUGAACAAAAUCUGAAACGCAGGAAACCAAGGUUCUAAUUUUGGGAGAGAAGCUUAAACUUGCAGAAUGGAGCAAUAAAAGUUCAAAAGAAGGUUAGAGGCCAGGAUGGGGGAGACCUCCAGCAGCAGCCACCUUGUUGCCUGGUGACAUGCAAGCCCAGGUGGUCCACUGGGAAGGAGGUCCUGUUCCAGGAAGCUUCAAAUGUCAACAAAGAGCUGUUAUAAACCCGAGGCAGUGGUGUUCAUACAUGGAACAAGAGCUGAUUUUCUGUCUGUAAAUUCAAUGUUGGGGAUGGAUUCUCAUCUUUUUGGUAUUGGAUAUCUGUAUCUAUCCCCUCUGAUCU